This 156-nucleotide ribosomal RNA is filed under the name uncultured bacterium. RNAcentral describes it as "partial 16S ribosomal RNA". It matches the Rfam family "Bacterial small subunit ribosomal RNA", at positions 355 to 528 of the family's 1533-position model. The record is from RNAcentral.
UGGGGAAUAUUGGACAAUGGGCGCAAGCCUGAUCCAGCAAUGCCGCGUGAGUGAUGAAGGCCUUAGGGUUGUAAAGCUCUUUUACCCGGGAWGUAAAUGACAGUACCGGGAGAAUAAGCCCCGGMUAACUCCGUGCCAGCAACCGCGGUAAUAUGU